AUGAUGAAUGCGUUGGUGGAUGAUAGAUGAGUGACGACGGACGGACUGA
RNAcentral lists this small nucleolar RNA (49 nucleotides) under Pyrobaculum islandicum DSM 4184. RNAcentral describes it as "PISsR25". Lineage: Archaea; Thermoproteati; Thermoproteota; Thermoprotei; Thermoproteales; Thermoproteaceae. The record is from RNAcentral.